AAUUCCCGGCGUGCCCCGGGGGACAACGGGCAGACUCCAAGCCCCGGCGGCCCCCGCGCGGCCUGAGGGCGCGGCCGCCAUGACGGGCCGCCAUGAGGACUCGGCCCGGCUCCUGCGGUCCUCCCAGCGCCGCCUCCCAGACCCCGCCCGCAACCACAGCUCCGCCAGCUUUACAACCCCGUGACUUUUAGUUUCCGUAACUGUCGCAGACCAGUGUUCGGUAGCGAAGAGCCUAACGUAGGGAACUGCAGAAUGACCAAAUGCCUCUAAGACUUAAAAGGACCACACGCCUGUGGUGAUCAGCAGCAUGAGCUGAUGAUGACCAGACCACAGUCUCGUCGUACCUACAGGGAAAAAUCGGGUUUAAGAAGUCAAAAUGAGUCUUACGAGCUGUGGAGGGAUCCUGCCGGCCGCCAGGGUGUCGAUUUCUCAAGGAAAGAGGUGUUCGGGAGCAGAGCAGGGCUUCUCCCAAAGCAAUGACAGUGACCUGCCCUGUCGUCUCCUGCACCAGCACGUUUUCAUUUGAAAAGACCAAAUCCUGCUUGCCAGAUACAAACACACCAAGUAGAUCGAGGAGCACAGCUGAGAGCUCUGCAGGAUGCAGUGAGAGAACCUUGGGAUGGCAGCAAUUUUUGUAGUAACCAGGAACCACAAAAAGGGAUUCAGGCCGUUCAGGCCCAAGGAAAAUGCUGCUGUCACGAGAGAAGGCAGGCUGGGAUCACAUCACCAUCACGAGCUGGUGAUGACCAAGGACAACAAGCAAGCAGCUACUGAAAGACAUUCCCCUGGACUUUCACCCCGGUUUCUCUCGACAAAGGCUCUGGAGGGCACCCCAGGCUGAGCCAGAGGACACUGGACAAGGCAAGAGCUGGGAAGUCACUGUGCAAUCCAGAGGUCACUGAGCAGCAGUGCCCAGGCACCAGGCACUGGGUACAGCUGUAUUUCAGGUCAUGUCUUAGAAGUGAAAAUGCACCAUGGAAUCAAAUUUUAAGAAGUGUUUGUUACCUUCAUUGUUUUUGGAUCCAGUUUAGACCAGUGCGUAGGCGUAGAGAUCUCCUUAGCUUCCCCAUCAUCCUUUUCCUCUUCAUCCUGACAAAUAAAAUUUAGAAAUUAUCAUUCAGAAAGCUUGAAAGCAUCUCAGUUAUUUUUUAAAUUCUGUUGCUGAUCUGUGCAAGGUCACAACUGUUUCAGACAGUCUUCUCCUAAAGUUAUUAUUUCGACAAGUUCACACACACAUUCUACCACUUUAUAAAUGAUCACAGUGCCACUCAGCCAAUACAAGCCAGAUCUGUGGAACAUAAAAGGGUGAUAAGCAACACCACAAAGAAUAUUGGGGUUACACAGACACUGCUGGUCUCCAGUAACCACACAGUGUGUGAUCUUCCCCCAGCUUUUUUAAUCCCCCAAAUUACUCUUGGUUCAGUCAGACCUUCCCUUAUUCCAAGAUGUUGAUCAGCCACAUGGCCUGAAAUUCAGAUGUUUCAGACUAGUGCUUGUUCAGUUUGAAAUAUCACAAUUAGAACUGGCCACAAGAGAGAAUUUAGAAAUUUUAGAAAA
Pseudopipra pipra is the source of this 1557-nucleotide long non-coding RNA. RefSeq lists it as uncharacterized. NCBI's taxonomy places the organism in Eukaryota, Metazoa, Chordata, Aves, Passeriformes, Pipridae. The record is from RefSeq and is a predicted model, not a curated record. The transcript is spliced from 4 exons.